Schistosoma haematobium is the source of this 45-nucleotide non-coding RNA. The record is from Rfam. NCBI's taxonomy places the organism in Eukaryota, Metazoa, Platyhelminthes, Trematoda, Strigeidida, Schistosomatidae.
AUCCAGCUGGCGAGUUUCAAAUAGGACGAAACGCGCGUCCUGGAU